This 1732-nucleotide long non-coding RNA is filed under the name Gossypium barbadense (sea-island cotton). RNAcentral describes it as "long non-coding RNA (GBAR_LNC000808)". Lineage: Eukaryota; Viridiplantae; Streptophyta; Magnoliopsida; Malvales; Malvaceae. The record is from RNAcentral.
CUAUACAUGCCACUCACUUGAUAUUUCUAAUAUUUGAAUUAAUUUUCCCAAAAAUGAUAGUUUGAUAGUGUGAUUUUGCCUCCGACGAUCUCCAACCCCGAGCCGACCUGCCAAUACUAAAUAAAUAGAGAGGAUGGGUAAGCUUUACACUUAGUAAGUCCAUAUGAAAUUAAUAAGCAAUUACUAACAUGCUUUUAAAGAUAAAACACUAUAAUUGUACAAUUACACAUGUUUAGGUUAAGUUGUUUUAUCGAGUUAUAGUUACUAAAUCAUUCAUAUAUGAAGCUAAAAAACUCAAAAUUUAGUUUUUUUAAUUUUCCUUGAAACUAGAUUCAUAUACCUUUCUCCCAUAAAAUUUUCAGAAUUUUUGGUUUAGCCAAUUAGUACAGUUUAUUCAUUAAAGUUUCCCCUCUUUUGCUGUCCAACAGUUCUGACCUCUCUUCACUAAAAAUUAUUUAUCUCAUAUUUCGGGACUCGGAUGAUGUUCCUGUCCAUUCCUCUUAAAAUUAGACUCAUUUAAUAUUCUAUUCAUAUAAAUUAUAACUCAUAAUUAUUUUUUUACAAUUUUUAACAAUUUUUCCAAUUCAGAAUAGGGGAUCUCGAAUUCAUUUUGACACUGUCUCACAAAAAUUAGAAUAUCAAAUAAUAUAGAACUCUUUUUCUCACCCUGUUUCUUUUAUAUGAAAAUAGACUCAUCAAUAUUUAAUUCCAUAAUUUUUUUUAAAUUUAAUUCAACUUACACAAUUUUUGGUGAAUUUUCAAAUUCACGCAACUGCUGCUGUCUAACAUUGUUUUACUACUAAAAUUCACUCUUACAUAAUUUCACUUAAUCCAUUUUGUCUUAUCGAAGUUCACUCAAAUAUCGAGCACAUUGCUCAUAAAUUUCAUUAACAUAUACCUGCACUUAUUCAUCAUAUAAUCAUGUUCACAUGUAUUUUCACUUAAUCGAUUUUCCCGUUGAACUCUUCGGAAUAAUAAUUGAUACUCAGUUGCCUGCACAUAUUUUCACACUUGUAGACAAGGCUAUCUAGUACGCAUAGUAGCCUACACUUAGUACUACACAUGCGACCAAUUAUCCGGUACACGUAGUAGCCUGCACUCAGUACUACACACGUGAUCGAAGUUAUCGGGUACGCAUAGUAGCCUGCACUUAGUACUACACAUGCGACCAAUUAUCCGAUACACGUAGUAGCCUGCACUUAGUACUACACACGUGAUCUCACAAUAGAUUAUUCGUAUUGUUCUAUUCCAAAUGCUCAACCGGGAAAUUCCUCACUUUCCAACAUGUUACAAAUUUAUUCAUAGUCCUUUUUCAAUUUGCAAUUUACAACAAAUAGUCAUUCUAUAGGCAGCCACAUUUCAUAUGAUAACAAAAUAUAAUAAAAUAAAAAGAAUCGAUAAAUUAUUUACGUACAACCUUGUCGAAAUCUCAUCAAGUACAAUCGUGUAGCAAUUCAUACAACCCAGGGAAUAGUAAUUUAACACUCAAUUCAUGUAACAAUAAUUUGCCAUUGACACAACGAGCAUUACAUUUUUCCAUAUCAUACAUACCAUCCAUCAACUUCUCUUAAACAUAUUAAACCAUACAAUUCAUGCAUGGUAUUUCAUUAUUAUUAACACACGAACUUACCUCGAUCCAGAAACGGCAAUUUACCAUUUUAGUCCAUAACCUUGUAUUUUUCCGAUUUAAGCCCGAAUCUCGAUUUCCUUCAUCUAUAAUAUCACAUUUAGC